RNAcentral lists this ribosomal RNA (305 nucleotides) under uncultured bacterium. RNAcentral's name for it is "bacterial SSU rRNA". It matches the Rfam family "Bacterial small subunit ribosomal RNA", at positions 338 to 640 of the family's 1533-position model. The record is from RNAcentral.
CCUACGGGGCGCAGCAGUGAGGAAUAUUGGUCAAUGGGCUUACGCCUGAACCAGCCAAGUCGCGUGAGGGAAGACUGCCCUAUGGGUUGUAAACCUCUUUUGUCAGGGAGCAACGCCGGCUACGUGUAGCCGGACUGAGAGUACCUGAAGAAAAAGCAUCGGCUAACUCCGUGCCAGCAGCCGCGGUAAUACGGAGGAUGCGAGCGUUAUCCGGAUUUAUUGGGUUUAAAGGGUGCGCAGGCGGCGAGUUAAGUCAGCGGUAAAAUUUCGGGGCUCAACCCCGACGAGCCGUUGAAACUGGCUUG